UGAGGAAUCUUGCGCAAUGGGGGAAACCCUGACGCAGCCACGCCGCGUGCUGGAAGACGGCCCUAUGGGUUGUAAACAGCUUUUGAUGGGGAAGAACCUGGGCCUUUCGAGGCCCACUGACGGUACCCAUCGAAUAAGCACCGGCUAACUCCGUGCCAGCAGCCGCGGUAAUACGGAGGGUGCAAGCGUUGUCCGGAAUCAUUGGGUGUAAAGGGUGCGCAGGCGGAAGUCUAAGUCGGAGGUGAAAUCUUGCCGCUUAACGGUAAAAGUGCCUUCGAUACUGGAUUUCUUGAGUUCGGAAGAGGUCGGUGGAAUUCGUGGUGUAGCGGUGAAAUGCAUAGAUAUCACGAAGAACACCAGUGGCGAAGGCGGCCGACUGGUCCGAUACUGACGCUGAGGCACGAGAGCGUGGGGAGCGAACA
Molecule: ribosomal RNA, 422 nt
Filed under: uncultured bacterium
Lineage: Bacteria
Description: bacterial SSU rRNA
Rfam family: Bacterial small subunit ribosomal RNA
Source: RNAcentral